UACGGGGGGAGCAAGCGUUGUUCGGAUUUACUGGGCGUAAAGGGCGCGUAGGCGGCCACCGCAAGUCGACUGUGAAAUCUCCGGGCUUAACCCGGAAAGGUCAGCCGAUACUGCGGGGCUAGAGUGCAGAAGGGGCAACUGGAAUUCUCGGUGUAGCGGUGAAAUGCGUAGAUAUCGAGAGGAACACCUGCGGCGAAGGCGGAUUGCUGGGCUGACACUGACGCUGAGGCGCGAAAGCUAGGGGAGCGAACGGG
This 254-nucleotide ribosomal RNA is filed under the name uncultured bacterium. RNAcentral's name for it is "partial 16S ribosomal RNA". It matches the Rfam family "Bacterial small subunit ribosomal RNA", at positions 524 to 776 of the family's 1533-position model. The record is from RNAcentral.